Molecule: ribosomal RNA, 425 nt
Filed under: uncultured bacterium
Lineage: Bacteria
Description: bacterial SSU rRNA
Rfam family: Bacterial small subunit ribosomal RNA
Source: RNAcentral
GUGGGGAAUAUUGGACAAUGGGCGAAAGCCUGAUCCAGCAAUGCCGCGUGAGUGAAGAAGGCCUUAGGGUUGUAAAGCUCUUUUACCCGGGAAGAUAAUGACUGUACCGGGAGAAUAAGCCCCGGCUAACUCCGUGCCAGCAGCCGCGGUAAUACGGAGGGGGCUAGCGUUGUUCGGAAUUACUGGGCGUAAAGCGCACGUAGGCGGCUUUGUAAGUUAGAGGUGAAAGCCCAGGGCUCAACCCUGGAACUGCCUUUAAGACUGCAUCGCUUGAACACGGGAGAGGUGAGUGGAAUUCCGAGUGUAGAGGUGAAAUUCGUAGAUAUUCGGAGGAACACCAGUGGCGAAGGCGGCUCACUGGCUCGAUACUGACGCUGAGGUGCGAAAGCGUGGGGAGCAAACAGGAUUAGAAACCCGUGUAGUCC